RNAcentral lists this ribosomal RNA (164 nucleotides) under uncultured bacterium. RNAcentral describes it as "partial 16S rRNA". It matches the Rfam family "Bacterial small subunit ribosomal RNA", at positions 355 to 511 of the family's 1533-position model. The record is from RNAcentral.
UAGGGAAUCUUCCACAAUGGACGCAAGUCUGAUGGAGCAACGCCGCGUGAGUGAAGAAGGUCUUCGGAUCGUAAAGCUCUGUUGUUGGUGAAGAAGGAUAGAGGCAGUAACUGGUCCUUAUUUGACGGUAAUCAACCAGAAAGUCACGGCUAACUACGUGCCAC